UGCAGUCGACGAUGAAGGAGGAGCUUGCUCCUCUGGAUUAGUGGCGAACGGGUGAGUAAUACGUGAGCAAUGUGCCCUUGACUCUGGGAUAAGCGCUGGAAACGGCGUCUAAUACCGGAUACGACCCUCGGAGGCAUCUCCUGAUGGUGGAAAGAACUUCGGUCAAGGAUCAGCUCACGGCCUAUCAGCUAGUUGGUGAGGUAACGGCUCACCAAGGCGACGACGGGUAGCCGGCCUGAGAGGGUGACCGGCCACACUGGGACUGAGACACGGCCCAGACUCCUACGGGAGGCAGCAGUGGGGAAUAUUGCACAAUGGGCGCAAGCCUGAUGCAGCAACGCCGCGUGAGGGACGAAGGCCUUCGGGUUGUAAACCUCUUUUAGCAGGGAAGAAGCGAAAGUGACGGUACCUGCAGA
RNAcentral lists this ribosomal RNA (416 nucleotides) under bacterium. RNAcentral describes it as "bacterial SSU rRNA". It matches the Rfam family "Bacterial small subunit ribosomal RNA", at positions 56 to 485 of the family's 1533-position model. The record is from RNAcentral.